This 468-nucleotide ribosomal RNA is filed under the name uncultured bacterium. RNAcentral's name for it is "partial 16S ribosomal RNA". It matches the Rfam family "Bacterial small subunit ribosomal RNA", at positions 28 to 507 of the family's 1533-position model. The record is from RNAcentral.
GACGAACGCUGGCGGCGUGCUUAACACAUGCAAGUCGAACGGAAAGGCCCUGCUUUUGUGGGGUGCUCGAGUGGCGAACGGGUGAGUAACACGUGAGUAACCUGCCCUUGACUUUGGGAUAACUUCAGGAAACUGGGGCUAAUACCGGAUAGGAGCUCCUGCUGCAUGGUGGGGGUUGGAAAGUUUCGGCGGUUGGGGAUGGACUCGCGGCUUAUCAGCUUGUUGGUGGGGUAGUGGCUUACCAAGGCUUUGACGGGUAGCCGGCCUGAGAGGGUGACCGGCCACGUUGGGACUGAGAUACGGCCCAGACUCCUACGGGAGGCAGCAGUGGGGAAUAUUACACAAUGGGCGGAAGCCUGAUGCAGCAACGCCGCGUGCGGGAUGACGGCCUUCGGGUUGUAAACCGCUUUCGCCUGUGACGAAGCGUGAGUGACGGUAAUGGGUAAAGAAGCACCGGCUAACUACGUG